UUUGUUUGUUUGUUUGUUUGUUUGUUUGUUUGUUUGUUUGUUUGUUUGUUUGUUUGUUUGUGUUUGUUUGUUUGUUUGUGUUUGUUUGUGUUUGUUUGUUUGUUUGUGUUUGUUUGUGUUUGUUUGUGUUUGUUUGUUUGUUUGUGUUUGUUUGUGUUUGUGUUUGUUUGUGUUUGUUUGUUUGUGUUUGUUUGUGUUUGUUUGUGUUUGUGUUUGUUUGUGUUUGUUUGUGUUUGUUUGUUUGUUUGUGUUUGUUUGUUUGUGUUUGUUUGUGUUUGUUUGUUUGUUUGUUUGUUUGUUUGUUUGUUUGUUUGUUUGUUUGUUUGUUUGUUUGUUUGUU
Non-coding RNA from Paramuricea clavata, 340 nucleotides. NCBI's taxonomy places the organism in Eukaryota, Metazoa, Cnidaria, Anthozoa, Malacalcyonacea, Plexauridae. The record is from the annotation of a GenBank genome assembly.